GUAGGUGGCAAGCGUUGUCCGGAAUUAUUGGGCGUAAAGCGCGCGCAGGCGGUUCUUUAAGUCUGAUGUGAAAGCCCACGGCUCAACCGUGGAGGGUCAUUGGAAACUGGAGAACUUGAGUACAGAAGAGGAAAGCGGAAUUCCACGUGUAGCGGUGAAAUGCGUAGAGAUGUGGAGGAACACCAGUGGCGAAGGCGGCUUUCUGGUCUGUAACUGACGCUGAGGCGCGAAAGCGUGGGGAGCAAACAGGAUUAGAUACCCUGGUAGUCCACGCCGUAAACGAUGAGUGCUAAGUGUUAGGGGGUUUCCGCCCCUUGGUGCUGCAGCUAACGCAUUAAGCACUCCGCCUGGGGAGUACGGCCGCAAAGGCUG
This 372-nucleotide ribosomal RNA is filed under the name uncultured organism. RNAcentral describes it as "partial 16S ribosomal RNA". It matches the Rfam family "Bacterial small subunit ribosomal RNA", at positions 527 to 896 of the family's 1533-position model. The record is from RNAcentral.